Long non-coding RNA from Quercus robur (English oak), 1049 nucleotides. RefSeq lists it as uncharacterized. The record is from RefSeq and is a predicted model, not a curated record. Lineage: Eukaryota; Viridiplantae; Streptophyta; Magnoliopsida; Fagales; Fagaceae. The transcript has 2 exons.
AAGGAUUUGAAAUUGUAGGAGUAAAACUUCAAGUUUCAACCAAUUCUAGCACAAAGACUGUUUAUUCAUCAACUUCUAGUUAGUUUGGUUAAAGGGCAGGACAUUACUGACAAUAUUUUUUCAAAUAUCGUCUUUUGAUUGCAGAGGUUUAUUGUGAACUUUCCAAGCAAGCCAAAUGGAGUUAAGAAGGGUCUUUAUAUACAGUUGGAGCGCUUGCUUAUAAAGUGUCCAAUUAUCGGGGUUCUCUCACCUUGGCAGCUUGGCCAAUCAAAUUUGAAGAGAUGAAUUGGCCCAAGUUAGUUCUCCAACCUGAAGAUAAGCUGAUAAUUCCAACGGAAGGAGUGAGGAACUUUAGACUAUUUGCAGAUUUUAGCAACAACAUAAUAUGGAUUACUAGGAACAAGCUUAUGAAUUAACAACAAAGGGAAGUUCUUAAUCUCAUUCUCUUAAUUUUUUAAAUUAAAUAGGUAUACACUGAUCAUGUUUCUUCUUGGGAAUUUGUAGGUGGAGAUUGGAGAAAAAAGUUGCGUAUGUCAAGAUUAAUUUCAACGCUGCAGUUAGAAAGGAAAAGACAUGUAUAGUAGCAGUUGGACCCAGAUAAUAGAGAAUCAAAGCCCCUGGCUGAAGCUCAUGCGGCUCUCUUAGUGAUAACAAUAGCAGCGGAAAUGGGAUAUGGAAAUUGGGUUCGUGAAGGAGACACUCUAAAUAUUAUUAUCUAGUUACAGAACCACUCUUUGGAGCCUGAUUGGUCUAUUGAACAUCUAAUUGAGGAAGCUAGAUACUUUUUCAAUUUUUAUCUGAUUGGGUGUAAAUCACACUUUUAGAGAAACCAAUAUUGUAGCCAAUAAUAUUGCUAAGUGGGCCAUCUUUUGUAAUAUGUCCGGAUUGAUCCCCAUCUCAUCCAUUCCAGACUGUUGCUUUUGUCCUUAGGAUAGAGAUGGAGGUAAAACCCCUCUUUUGCAGCACUUUUCCUCUUUUUAGUUUUGCUCUUUUUUAAUAAAGUAUUUCUAGGCACCAAAAAAAAUAUAGAUAGAAUUAUUGUGGAUCAA